GACUAGAGUUUGAUCCUGGCCUCAGAACGAACGUUAGCGGCGCGCCUAACACAUGCCAAGUCGCACGAGAAAGGGCUUCGGCCCCGGUAAAGUGGCGCACGGGUGAGUAACACGUAGGUAAUCUCCCCUCAAGUGGUGGAUAACCCUCCGAAAGGAGAGCUAAUACAGCAUGAGACCACGAGCUCUUCGGAGCUUGCGGCCAAAGCAGGCCUCUACAUGUAAGCUUGCGCUGGAGGAUGAGCCUGCGGCCCAUCAGGUAGUUGGCAGGGUAAUGGCCUACCAAGCCUAAGACGGGUAGCUGGUCUGAGAGGAUGAACAGCCACACUGGAACUGACACACGGUCCAGACUCCUACGGGAGGCAGCAGUGGGGAAUCUUGCGCAAUGGGCGAAAGCCUGACGCAGCGACGCCGCGUGAGCGAUGAAGGCCUUCGGGUUGUAAAGCUCUGUGGGGAGGGAAGAAUAAGGGUUGGCUAAUAUCCAGCUCGAUGACGGUACCUCCUUAGCAAGCACCGGCUAACUCUGUGCCAGCAGCCGCGGUAA
Molecule: ribosomal RNA, 541 nt
Filed under: uncultured delta proteobacterium
Lineage: Bacteria; Deltaproteobacteria
Description: bacterial SSU rRNA
Rfam family: Bacterial small subunit ribosomal RNA
Source: RNAcentral